CCUGAUGGCUCAGAUGGUAAAGUGCCUGCCUGCAAUGCAGGAGGCCCGGGUUCAAUUCCUGGGUCAGGA
Molecule: transfer RNA, 69 nt
Filed under: Bos taurus (domestic cattle)
Lineage: Eukaryota; Metazoa; Chordata; Mammalia; Artiodactyla; Bovidae
Also listed under: 5 other names
Rfam family: tRNA
About the family: Transfer RNA (tRNA) molecules are approximately 80 nucleotides in length. Their secondary structure includes four short double-helical elements and three loops (D, anti-codon, and T loops). Further hydrogen bonds mediate the characteristic L-shaped molecular structure. tRNAs have two regions of fundamental functional importance: the anti-codon, which is responsible for specific mRNA codon recognition, and the 3' end, to which the tRNAs corresponding amino acid is attached (by aminoacyl-tRNA synthetases). tRNAs cope with the degeneracy of the genetic code in two manners: having more than one tRNA (with a specific anti-codon) for a particular amino acid; and 'wobble' base-pairing, i.e. permitting non-standard base-pairing at the 3rd anti-codon position.
Source: Rfam by way of RNAcentral